This 629-nucleotide ribosomal RNA is filed under the name uncultured eukaryote. RNAcentral describes it as "SSU rRNA". It matches the Rfam family "Eukaryotic small subunit ribosomal RNA", at positions 609 to 1241 of the family's 1831-position model. The record is from RNAcentral.
GUUGUUGCAGUUAAAAAGCUCGUAGUUGGAUUUCUGGUGGGAGCGGUCGGUGCGGUCCUCAGGAUUGCUACUCGUACCGUCUCUCGCCAUCCUUGGGUCGAUCCUGUCUGGCAUUAAAUUGUCGGGCAAGGGAUGCCCAUCGUUUACUGUGAAAAAAUUAUAGUGUUCAAAGCAGGCUUAUGCCGUUGAAUAUAUUAUCAUGGAAUAAUAAGAUAGGACUUUGGUACUAUUUUGUUGGUUUGCGCACCAAAGUAAUGAUUAAUAGGGACAGUUGGGGGUAUUCGUAUUCCGUUGUCAGAGGUGAAAUUCUUGGAUUUCCGGAAGACGAACUACUGCGAAAGCAUUUACCAAAGAUGUUUUCAUUAAUCAAAAACGAAAGUUAGGGGAUCGAAGAUGAUUAGAUACCAUCGUAUUCUUAACCAUAAACUAUGCCGACUCGGGAUUGGCGGUCGUUAAUUUUGACCCCGUCAGCACCGUAUGUGAAAACAAAGUCUUUGGGUUCCGGGGGGAGUAUGGUCUCAAGGCUGAAACUUAAAGAAAUUGACGGAAGGGCACCACCAGGAGUGGAGCCUGCGGCUUAAUUUGACUCAACACGGGAGAACUUACCAGGUCCAGACAUAGUGAGGAUU